AAUUCAUGUGGCUGCAACGGGAGCUGGAUGAUCUAAAUGGUCUCACUCUUGGGUCUGGCCGUUGAUGUUGGCUGUUGGCUGAGCCAGGGGAUUUCAGCAGGCUAGCGUGGGCUCUUCAUUCAGCAGCAGGGUUCCAAGAGGACAAGCCCAACACACAUGUGCUUUUCAAGCCUGUGAUUAUGAGGGCUGUACUACAGCAAUCUGCCACAAUCAGUAACAACCACAUAAGAAAGCAAUGACAAGUUAUGAUUACCACUGUGAGAGAGGGUUACUAUUCCAAGUGGCACCUGAGCCAGCAGCAUUGGCAUCACCUGAGACUUAUUAGAAAUGCAGCAUCUCAGGUUCCACUGCAGGUCUGUGAAAUCAGAAUCUGCAGUUUAACAAGGUCCCCAGGAGAUGUGUGUGUGUGGUUUACAGAAAGAAGAUUCAAGCUUCAGCAGUCCAGGUCAGUUGGACAAGGUGACCUUUAAGCCCACUUCUAGUUUCAUGAAAACAAAUCUGAAACUUGCCCGAUUUCAGGAAUGGUGGUGAAAACACCAUGUACCCAAAUGGUCUGGUGGCAGGUAUUCAAACAUGAAGAAAAACUGGUCUCUUUGUUCUAUAGGAGAUCCACUGUGAUUAGGUCCGUCCCUCCUUCAUCGUUAAGCCUUUGGGCUUUAAGCAAAGAUGUGAGGUCUGCUUUAAGCAGGAAUGGACUUUGGGAUCUUUAUUGUUACUCUCAUCUUGACCAUGGACCUCCCUGGGCACCCAGAUCGAUUUGCCAUGUGGGGGCCAUACAUGAAUUGAAGACCAAUCCAGAGGUUAUU
Non-coding RNA from Saimiri boliviensis boliviensis (Bolivian squirrel monkey), 806 nucleotides. Lineage: Eukaryota; Metazoa; Chordata; Mammalia; Primates; Cebidae. The record is from RefSeq and is a predicted model, not a curated record.